Molecule: long non-coding RNA, 451 nt
Organism: Peromyscus eremicus (cactus mouse)
Lineage: Eukaryota; Metazoa; Chordata; Mammalia; Rodentia; Cricetidae
Exons: 3
Source: RefSeq, a predicted model, not a curated record
AACGUGCUCAGAACCAUCCUGCCAUGGACCAGGAUGAUUCCUUCUUCAAAGAUAGAGGAUUCCGUAGACUCUCAUAGGUAAAAGAAAAGGCCCUUGAUGGAGAUUGGGAGAUGGAAAAAACUCACAGUGAUUGUGGAGUAUGGAGCCUGGGAAAACAAGGCAUCAACUUGGAUGCAAGAUACUCACCUGUCGAAGCAUGUGACACUUCAGUGACAAAAAUACACCACCUGUGAAUCUUUGCAUGCUUGAGGGCACACUGUGGUUAAAGGAAAUCUCAGACAAUCUAAUUGCAAUCUAAGUCAAUAGGAAGGGCGUGUCUGUACCUCUCUGCUGCUGGGAACUUCGCUUCUCGGUCUCCAGCAUGUAGCUACUUGUCUACCAUGUGUCUGAUCUCCAUGGCAGCUUAAAAUGACCUGGCUUCUUUUACCAUUCUCCUCCAUUCUCUGUCUCC